RNAcentral lists this long non-coding RNA (673 nucleotides) under Androctonus crassicauda. Lineage: Eukaryota; Metazoa; Arthropoda; Arachnida; Scorpiones; Buthidae. The record is from RNAcentral.
CUGAUGCUCAGGACAGACUUCAUUUCAGUAAAGGGAUAAGAAGCCCCUUCCUUGAUCAACCCAUCUGCAUCUUCAUUUUCCUUAAUCCCUCUGGCUCUUGCACCCAAACAAAUUGAACACUGUUUCUAGUAACUAAUUCCACAAAGCUUCUAUGGGAUACUGCCAUUCCUGUAGAAACUUUAAGUUGAAGUGGGAGCUAUCAAGUACUUUUAAUGCAGUCUGCCUAUCUGAUAGGAUGUAAAUAUGUUUAUUAGCAUAUCCUCUGUCAAGAUUAAUUUUAACAUAUGCAAAAAUACCAUAGAUUCUAUCUGAAAACUGUGCAAGGGAACAAAAAUAAGACAUCUUCAUUCCCUUGCAAUAAAACCUUACCUCUUCACCAGCAGAGGUUUUGGAACUGUCCUAUACUAAACCAAUCCACUCUUAAUACUGUGUUCAGAUCUAUCCUUCUAAUGGUGGGGAAAACAAUAGUGAAAGGUCUGAAGAAGCUGAAUCUGAGCACCAUGUGAUCCUUAACCCUCUCAAGAAUGUGGCUGUGUCUUGUCUCUUAUAAAAGAUGAGUACUAAACUUGUUUACUUUAAAAUGAUCACUGAAAGAAAAGCACUUGAAAGCAGUUUUAUAAAAUAAAAAUAUUUUUGAUAGAAAAACUUUAGAAUGUUUCAGUCAAAUUGGUGU